GGAAAAUGAUGCACCAUUCCAGAAGAUCUGACCGUCUGUUUUGAAUUACCUCUUGAAGGAAAUGAAUGUUAUGCUCCACAAAUUUUAAUUUGAAAUCCAAAUUCCCAAAGCGUUGAGUGACCUNNNNNNNCUCCUCCCUAAGGUACUCAUAUAUUUGAGCAUAUUUUGCAUCUCUCCAAGCAAUUUCAGAUCUCUCAAAAAGGCCAACUUUGAGAAUUACAUCAGCUAGAUUUGAAUUUGCC
This 242-nucleotide unclassified non-coding RNA is filed under the name Hevea brasiliensis (rubber tree). The record is from RNAcentral. Lineage: Eukaryota; Viridiplantae; Streptophyta; Magnoliopsida; Malpighiales; Euphorbiaceae.